Molecule: long non-coding RNA, 472 nt
Organism: Pezoporus flaviventris
Lineage: Eukaryota; Metazoa; Chordata; Aves; Psittaciformes; Psittacidae
Exons: 3
Source: RefSeq, a predicted model, not a curated record
UAACCCUCUCUGGUGUGCCCUACCGCCGUCCGUUGCCGUGUCCCUGUCCGCCCUGGCGGUGACCGCCGCCCGCUGUCAGGUACCUUCUCUGAGCGCACCUGGCCUGUGGCCGUGCCGGGCUAACCCUGCGGCUCGGCCUGGCCCAGCCCUGCGCUAGGGAGAAUUUCUGAGGUGAGGCCGGGGGGUUCCACGGAGCUUUCCUUCAGGUGCUGCCGUCGCACGAGUUGGAAAUUCGAGGCAAAACUCGGGGUGUGGCUUCAAACCUCCGCCAUGCAAACACACCUAAGCGAGGUGGGACUCCAAAGCUCCUUCAAGUAGGGGUACUGGUUUGCUCUGCCUGAUGGGCUAAGAAAGUUCAGCAUGAAUUAGCCAAGAUACUGCUUAGGAGUAGAAUAGCAGAUUUUGGUAUGAAGUAGCCUGCUGCAUGCAGUAUUUGCCUGCAUUUGAAGAAAGGCUUUUGACUCCUAAAAAG